GCGUAGAUAGUUGAAUGGUACAAUUUCUGCCUUCCAAGCAGAAGGUCGGGGUUCGAUUCCCCGUCUACGCA
Molecule: transfer RNA, 71 nt
Organism: Lichtheimia corymbifera
Lineage: Eukaryota; Fungi; Mucoromycota; Mucoromycetes; Mucorales; Lichtheimiaceae
Rfam family: tRNA
About the family: Transfer RNA (tRNA) molecules are approximately 80 nucleotides in length.
Source: Rfam